AUGUACUUUGAUGGUGCCUUCUCGCUGCAAGGCGCCGGCGCAGGCGUGCUGCUUGUCGCACCCACCGGAGAGCACCUCAAGUACGUAGUCCAGAUGCACUUUCCCAAAGAGCAAGCAACCAACAAUACUGCAGAGUAUGAAGGAUUGCUUGCCGGUCUCAGAAUCACAGCAGACCUUGGGAUCAAGAAGCUCAUUGUCAGGGGUGACUCGCAGCUUGUCGUCCGCCAAGUGAACAAGAACUACCAGAGUCCAUUGAUGGAAGCUUAUGUUGAUGAAGUGAGAAAGCUAGAAGAACACUUUGACGGCCUGCAAAUGGAACAUGUUCCGCGAGCUCAGAAUGACAUUGCUGAUGGCCUGUCAAAGUGCGCUGCACUAAAGUUGUCUGUGGAACCAGGGAUCUUUGUGCUCAAGCUGACUCAACCAUCCGUGACACCAUCAAAUGGACAGAAUAAGAAGAGGAAGUUGGUUUCUAGUGACUACUUUCCGGCAGAGCUUCCCGAAGCCACCGCCAAGAAGGUCCCCAAGAUAGACGCCAAGAGUGCUGAGGAGCAGUUUGCUCCGGCAAGCCUUAUGGCUUGUUUCGUUGAAGCAGACGCUCCCGACAAGUCUUGCUCCGGCAAGCUUGUCAGGGAGCAUCACGCUCCGGCAGAGCCACAGGUUCUUGCCGUAGAAGCGGAUGUUCCCGCAGCAACAGAUACGCCUUUAGUCCUUGUUGUCGAGCCACAAGCUCCAGCAUGGGCGCAGCAGAUUGUCCGUUUCCUUCAGACAGGAGAGCUUCCCGAAGAGCAAGAAGAAGCUGAAAAAGUAGCCCGACAGUCAAGUAUGUACAAGUUUGUCGAUAGCACACUGUACAGAAUAAGACUCAACGGUGUGAAAUUAAAGUGCAUUUGCUGGGAAGAUGGACAACAGCUGUUGGCAGAGAUACAUGGAGGCAUAUGUGGUCACCACAUUGGCGCAAGAGCACUUGCCGGCAAAGCAUUCCGGCAAGGCUUAUUCUGGCCGACAGCCCUCCAGGAUGCAACUGCACAAGUAACCAAGUGUGAAGCGUGCCAGUUCCAUUCCAAGCAGAUACACCAACCAGCUCAAGCUCUCCAGACGGUCCCUUUAUCCUGGCCAUUUUCGGUCUGGGGGCUCGACAUCCUCGGCCCCUUCCCCCGAGCUGUCGGGGGCUUUGAGUUCUUGUAUGUUGCAAUCGACAAGUUCACAAAGUGGCCGGAAGUGGAACCAGUGAGGAAGGUGACAGCACAGUCAGCAGUCAAGUUCUUCAGGUCGAUUGUUUGCCGUUUCGGGGUUCCUAACAGGAUCGUCACCAACAACGGCACGCAAUUUACGAGCCGCACCUUCAUGCAGUAUGUCCAAGAUCUUGGCGCCAAGGUCUACUUCGCUUCUGUUGCUCACCCGAGAAGCAACGGUCAAGCGGAGAGGGCAAACACUGAAGUGCUGCGGGGCCUCAAGACCAGAACUUUCGACAGGCUGCACAAGUGCGGAAGAAACUGGAUCAAGGAGCUGCCGGUGGUUCUUUGGUCGAUCAGAACGACACCAAAUCGAGCCACUGGCCAGACACCUUUCGCUCUAGUCUAUGGAGCAGAGGCAGUUCUCCCCACGGAACUCGUAUACGGGUCACCUCGAGUGCUCGCUUAUGAUGAGCUCGAGCAAGAGCAGUUGCGCCAAGAUGACGCGCUGCUCCUUGAGGAAGACCGUCUUCAGGAUGUUGUGCGAGCUGCUCGCUACCAGCAAGCUUUGCGUCGCUACCAUAGCCGCAAAGUUAAAGCCAGGAGCUUCGAGGAAGGCGACCUUGUUCUUUGGCGUGUUCAGUCCGCCAAGAAUUCCAACAAGUUGACGCUGAAGUGGGAAGGCCCUUAUCGGGUGAAACGAGUCACUAGGCCCGGUGUUGUCCGCCUUGAGACCGAAGAUGGCAUUCCGGUGAGCAACUCCUGGAACAUAAAACAUCUUCGUAAGUUUUACCCAUAG
This 1971-nucleotide ribosomal RNA is filed under the name Triticum aestivum (bread wheat). RNAcentral describes it as "partial small subunit ribosomal RNA". The record is from RNAcentral. Lineage: Eukaryota; Viridiplantae; Streptophyta; Magnoliopsida; Poales; Poaceae.